CCUACGGGAGGCAGCAGUGGGGAAUAUUGGGCAAUGGGCGCAAGCCUGACCCAGCAACGCCGCGUGAAGGAAGAAGGCUUUCUGGUUGUAAACUUCUUUUCUCAGGGACGAAGCAAGUGCCGGUACCUGAGGAAUAAGCCACGGCUAACUACGUGCCAGCAGCCGCGGUAAGACGGAGGCUGCAAGCGUUAUCCGGAUUUACUGGGUGUAAAGGGGGUGUAGGCGGGACUGCAAGUCAGAUGUGAAAACCAUGGGCUCAACCUAUGUACUGUAUUUGAAACUGUAGUUCUUGAGUACUGGAGAGGCAGGCGGAAUUCCUGGUGUAGCGGUGAAAUGCGUAGAUAUUAGGAGGAACACCAGUUGCGAAGGCGGCCUGCUGGACAGUAACUGACGCUGAGGCGCGAAAGCGUGGGGAGCAAACAGGAUUAGAUACCCUUGUAGUC
RNAcentral lists this ribosomal RNA (443 nucleotides) under uncultured bacterium. Its description in RNAcentral is "partial 16S ribosomal RNA". It matches the Rfam family "Bacterial small subunit ribosomal RNA", at positions 338 to 795 of the family's 1533-position model. The record is from RNAcentral.